UACGUAGGUGGCGAGCGUUGUCCGGAUUUACUGGGCGUAAAGAGCGCGCAGGCGGUCGGAUCAGUCGAAUGUGAAAGCCCCCGGCUCAACUGGGGAGGGUCACGCGAUACUGAUCGACUCGAAGGCAGGAGAGGGUAGUGGAAUUCCCGGUGUAGUGGUGAAAUGCGUAGAUAUCGGGAGGAACACCAGUGGCGAAGGCGACUACCUGGCCUGUUCUUGACGCUGAGGCGCGAAAGCUAGGGGAGCAAACGGG
This 253-nucleotide ribosomal RNA is filed under the name uncultured bacterium. Its description in RNAcentral is "partial 16S ribosomal RNA". It matches the Rfam family "Bacterial small subunit ribosomal RNA", at positions 524 to 776 of the family's 1533-position model. The record is from RNAcentral.